This 484-nucleotide ribosomal RNA is filed under the name uncultured bacterium. RNAcentral describes it as "partial 16S ribosomal RNA". It matches the Rfam family "Bacterial small subunit ribosomal RNA", at positions 28 to 523 of the family's 1533-position model. The record is from RNAcentral.
GACGAACGCUGGCGGCGUGCUUAACACAUGCAAGUCGAACGAUGAAGCUGGAGCUUGCUCCGGUGGAUUAGUGGCGAACGGGUGAGUAACACGUGAGCAAUCUGCCCUUGACUCUGGGAUAACUGCGGGAAACUGUAGCUAAUACCGGAUACUUUCACUGGAAGGCAUCUUCUGGUGAAGAAAGAAUUUCGGUCAAGGAUGAGCUCGCGGCCUAUCAGCUUGUUGGUGAGGUAACGGCUCACCAAGGCGACGACGGGUAGCCGGCCUGAGAGGGUGACCGGCCACACUGGGACUGAGACACGGCCCAGACUCCUACGGGAGGCAGCAGUGGGGAAUAUUGCACAAUGGGCGCGAGCCUGAUGCAGCAACGCCGCGUGAGGGAUGAAGGCCUUCUGGUUGUAAACCUCUUUUAGCAGGGAAGAAGCGAAAGUGACGGUACCUGCAGAAAAAGCACCGGCUAACUACGUGCCAGCCGCCGCAGUAA